Molecule: ribosomal RNA, 254 nt
Filed under: uncultured bacterium
Lineage: Bacteria
Description: partial 16S ribosomal RNA
Rfam family: Bacterial small subunit ribosomal RNA
Source: RNAcentral
UACGUAGGGGCCGAGCGUUGUCCGGAGUUAUUGGGCGUAAAGCGCGCGCAGGCGGCCUCGCGCGCCCGACGUGAAAGCCCCCGGCUUAACCGGGGAGGGUCGUUGGGGACGGCGGGGCUUGAGGGCGGGAGAGGUCGGUGGAAUUCCCGGUGUAGUGGUGAAAUGCGUAGAGAUCGGGAGGAACACCUGUGGCGAAGGCGGCCGACUGGGCCGACCCUGACGCUGAGGAGCGAAAGCAUGGGGGAGCGAACAGG